UUUCGGGAUACGUAAACUCA
Molecule: microRNA, 20 nt
Filed under: Bombyx mori nucleopolyhedrovirus
Lineage: Naldaviricetes; Lefavirales; Baculoviridae
Source: RNAcentral